GCCGAGUGUGGUGGCGUGUGCCUGUAGUCCCAGCUACUGAGGAGGCUGAGACAGGAGAAUUGCUUGAACCCAGGAGGUGGAGACUGCAGUGAGCUGAGAUCGUGCCACUGCACUCCAGCCUGGGUGACAAAGCAAGACUCCGUCUCUA
RNAcentral lists this non-coding RNA (148 nucleotides) under Nomascus leucogenys (northern white-cheeked gibbon). The record is from Rfam by way of RNAcentral. Lineage: Eukaryota; Metazoa; Chordata; Mammalia; Primates; Hylobatidae.